This is a non-coding RNA of Hydra vulgaris (swiftwater hydra), 235 nucleotides long. Lineage: Eukaryota; Metazoa; Cnidaria; Hydrozoa; Anthoathecata; Hydridae. The record is from RefSeq and is a predicted model, not a curated record.
CAAAUGAGAGGAGUGGGAGGAGCGACUCCACAGAAAACAGUUUAAAAUGUUUUAAAUGCUAUCAAGGAAUACAGGCAUUAUUUAGAGGAAGGAAGAAAUGAAAAAAAUACUAUUGUAGGUUGCAAAAUUGAUUAUAAUGCAAGCAACAUCGAGUGUGCAAUUAGCGACAUAUUAAAACAAACCAAAAAAAUAAUGUUUUCGCUAGAUUGUAUUUAUAUAUUAGUAUAGUCAAAAA